This 593-nucleotide ribosomal RNA is filed under the name Tomentella sp. 3 DL-2015. RNAcentral describes it as "eukaryotic LSU rRNA". The stretch from base 182 to 336 matches the Rfam family "5.8S ribosomal RNA". The record is from RNAcentral. Lineage: Eukaryota; Fungi; Basidiomycota; Agaricomycetes; Thelephorales; Thelephoraceae.
UGAUUGUUGCUGGUCUCCGGAUGGGGGGGGGGGGGCUCUGGGGGUGGUCCCCUCACACCUGUGCACCUUCUGUAGUUCUGUGGCUUGGGGGACUUGUCCUCCUGCUGUGGUUCUGCAUCUUUGCACUCACACUGGGAUCAAGUCUAAUGGAAUGCGUGCCGCGUUUAACGCAAUACGAUACAACUUUCAGCAACGGAUCUCUUGGCUCUCGCAUCGAUGAAAAACGCACCGAAAUGCGAUAAGUAAUGUGAAUUGCAGAAUUCAGUGAAUCAUCGAAUCUUUGAACGCACCUUGCGCCCUUUGGCUAUUCCCAAGGGCAUGCCUGUUUGAGGAUCAUGAACAUCUCACCUCCUCACGGUUAUCCCGUGAUGAGCUUGGACUUUGGGGGUCUUGCUGGCCUGCACGUCGGCUCCUCUCAAAUGAAUCACCUUGCCACUGUUUGGUGGCGUCACAGGUGUGAUAACUAUCUACGCUUGUGGUUUUCUGCCACGCAACCUCCACCAAUGGGAACUCACUGGACUCACAAAUGUCUCUCCUCGGUGAGAACAGCUCUUUGAACGUUUGAUCUCAAAUCACGUAUGACUACCCGCUGA